This is a long non-coding RNA of Saccoglossus kowalevskii, 730 nucleotides long. RefSeq lists it as uncharacterized. The record is from RefSeq and is a predicted model, not a curated record. NCBI's taxonomy places the organism in Eukaryota, Metazoa, Hemichordata, Enteropneusta, Harrimaniidae.
GGUUGGGUAGAUAAUAGCACGCUGUCUCGAGCACAUCCAGUUAGGCGGAUUCCAGUCAUAGAAGCAUUCCUCCCUAAGACCGACGUAUACCACAAUACAAGAUGAAUACAUCACUGGCUGUCGCAAUACUUGUCCUACUCGUUGUAUUCCAACAGACGUCUGCCACAACGCCAGCCGCAGGUACAGAUGCCCCGCAGACGACUGGCGCGGCGAUGCCAACAACAGCCGGAGACAGCCCAACGGGUACACCAGGAGGUGCCACCACCGCCGCAUCGGGCACUGCUUCUUUCACGGCGUCUCUUCUUUUGACUGCCUUGAUGGCGUGGUUCGCAGCAUAGAAACAUUCAUAUUUUAGUUAAGGGCUUGAUCACCAAACUGUCAAGUUUAUCCUUGUUUCCGAUGCCAUACAUGACGUUAUAUUACCGAGAGAAGUAUUCUAAACGGGCACCGGAAACUCAAUAAGCAUGACGUAUGACUGUGACGUCAGUAGCACCGCUCAGUUGUGCCUCGUUCACAUUAUGGAGGUUUUGGUACUCAUGAUGAUGUCUUUGACGAACGGUGAAAGCGAUGCCAGCAAUGCAUGGAGUUCCGAGACAUCAAAUAUAGUAUUCAUGAGUUGCGAGUUGCUAUAACAACCAGAUAAUUCCUGAUUGCAGAUUUGUACAACUUAAUGUUUUGUAUUCAAUUUGCUGGUGAAUGAGAUUAAAAAUACAAAUGAAAAUUCUAAAUA